AGAUUUUGAUGCUACUCUUUUUAUACCAUUCAUAUGAAUGAAGAGGGUCACAAUCCGAAAAUUUUUCUUUUUGAUUGAUUGAUGAAAACACUUGCUUUGUUUUCCAUUUCUUUUAUUUGAGUCAGUCAUCUUGCUUGCAAUCAUCAAACUGGUCUUUAUUUUCAAUGUUUUGUGAAAACUGAGGAAUGUCAUGCAUCCGAGGUCUUAAAUUUGAGAUUAUUUCAUUUUAACUUUUUUCCUUUCGAGACAUCAGCGCACACAUGCUUGAAUUUGUUGGCAAGUGGAGAAAUGAGAAGGGUUUAGAGGAGAAUGGGAUAAUUGUAUGGACAAGUCAUUCCUCAUAAUCCUCAAAGGAGAUGUGAUAUGAGAAUGUUAGGGUGAACACGAGAUACACAAAGGGUGCCCCAACUUGAUAUUAUGGAAAAUGAGCUGGGGUUUGGAUUCAUGAAAGUUAGGGUGAGAAAAUUUCAAAUGAGAUUUGGAAAGCUGCCCCAGUCUUGAAGUUAUGGAUUGAUGAAAAACUUGUGUGAGAUUCAGAAAGCCACCAAAGUUAUUGAUCAUUGAGUGCUCUUAUUUGCAUCAUGAGUUGACUCCUACCUGAUGACAACCCUUGCUUGGGGAUGAUUUUGAAAAAAGAAUUUAUUUUUGGCUCAAAUAGGGUGACAAUGGAUAUAAUUUUGCUUUUAGGUAAAAACAAGAAGGCCACACAUCAUUUUGAACUCUGAUUGCUUUAUUUUCAAAAGAUUAAUUUUGCGACUGGAUGACCUCAACAUGAGUCGUUUUUUUUUUUCUUUUUGAAAGUUUUUUUUUUUAGACUGCUCUUUCGGGUUUUCAAUCUAGUGGGCUUAUUCUUCUUUUUUUAUUUUGAUUUUUUUUCAAUGGAUUCAGGGAUCACCUUACUAUCACAAGCAAGAAGUUUUUUGGCCAGACCAAAUUGCCACAGUGUAAAGGUUUUUGCUACAGAGGUCAGUGACAGUGUUUAUUAGGGAAAAUCCUUUAUUUUGGAAAAGUGAAGGGUGAAGGUUUUCAAACAACAUGUGCACAAAUGUCUUGAGAAAAAUAUCA
Molecule: long non-coding RNA, 1065 nt
Filed under: Vigna radiata
Lineage: Eukaryota; Viridiplantae; Streptophyta; Magnoliopsida; Fabales; Fabaceae
Description: long non-coding RNA (VRAD_LNC009004)
Source: RNAcentral